GAUGAACGCUGGCGGCGUGCUUAACACAUGCAAGUCGAACGGGAAUUCUUUUAUUGAAACUUCGGUCGAUUUAAUUUAAUUCUAGUGGCGGACGGGUGAGUAACGCGUGGGUAACCUGCCUUAUACAGGGGGAUAACAGUCAGAAAUGGCUGCUAAUACCGCAUAAGCGCACAGAGCUGCAUGGCUCAGUGUGAAAAACUCCGGUGGUAUAAGAUGGACCCGCGUUGGAUUAGCUGGUUGGUGGGGUAACGGCCCACCAAGGCGACGACCCAUAGCCGGCUGAAGAGGUGGACCGCCACAAUUGGACUUAGACACGGCCCCGACUCCUACCGGGAGGAGGAAGGGGGAAAAUUACACAAUGGGGGAAACCCUGAUGCAGCGACGCCGCGUGAAGGAAGAAGUAUCUCGGUAUGUAAACUUCUAUCAGCAGGGAAGAUAGUGAUGGUACCUGACUAAGAAGCCCCGGCUAACUACGUG
Molecule: ribosomal RNA, 477 nt
Filed under: uncultured bacterium
Lineage: Bacteria
Description: partial 16S ribosomal RNA
Rfam family: Bacterial small subunit ribosomal RNA
Source: RNAcentral